GUUUCCGUUUCCAAUGCCGUGGUUAACGCGCCCGAUCUCGUCUGAUCUCGGAAGCUAAGCAGGGUCAGGCCUGGUUAGUACUUGGAAGGGAGUCCAAAGCCGUGGUUGCCUCAAACC
Non-coding RNA from Canis lupus familiaris (dog), 117 nucleotides. Lineage: Eukaryota; Metazoa; Chordata; Mammalia; Carnivora; Canidae. The record is from Rfam.